ACGAGACCUAUUCUGUAUUUCGUCAUCCGUGUGACUACGAGGAGUCUCAGUGUCCUGGUUAUCCGAAACCGCCCUAUCGCCCCGGCGGACCACCAAUCGCUGGGUGUUUCUGCAAUGAAGGAUUGUUACGUCACAAUGGUCAGUGUAUUUCACCUGGUGAUUGCCCGUCCUGUGAUGUGGUCAAUUGCUUUGUGGAUCCAUGUCUGUUGGCGACUUGCGGAGCCUCUCCUAAUGCUCGAUGCAUGUCCAACUACUGCGGAGGAUGCAAUUUCAUCUUCUACGACUCUCAAUGUCAUGAAGUCCAGUGUGACGGAAAGCCAACUUAUUAAACAACCAUUAUAUACCGUGGUAUCAAGAUCUACACGUUACGCGAUGGUUUCUGAAUCCUGUCAUUCCCCUCCACUCCACUGUGUGACAGGAACUAACCGGUUCGCGUUGGCAAUGGUUUACGGGAUCGGAGGUUUUUGGUUAAACAAAGAUAUUAACUAAACAUAAUGUCUGUAUAAUGAUUGUAACUGCCUGUAUUUCUGUUGUUUAUAAAUUAAAUUUAGUUGAUCUUUUAGGCGUGAUAAACACGAGUUCACGUAAAACACUAUAAAAAAAGACAUCAUGAUACUUCCAAAGCACUUAUUUGGAUAUAAAUGUCAUUGAAACAUUUAAUUUUCAUUAUUUCGACUUUCAUCGUUGCUAUCAUAAGUAAACAUUUUCAAACGAAUUUUCUGUUGCCAUUUAUGAAUGAAUAAUUUGUGGUCGUUGGGCAAACAUAUUGCUCUACGUCUUCAUUUCAAUUACAAACUAACGAAAUCAUCACUCCUUUUUAAACAGUUUAAGAAGUAUCUAUAUCCUGCACUUUGAAAUGAAUGAAAUUAAAUGACAUCAGUCGCACGGUAGGCCUAAAAUUAA
Strongylocentrotus purpuratus (purple sea urchin) is the source of this 903-nucleotide long non-coding RNA. RefSeq lists it as uncharacterized. Lineage: Eukaryota; Metazoa; Echinodermata; Echinoidea; Camarodonta; Strongylocentrotidae. The record is from RefSeq and is a predicted model, not a curated record. The transcript is spliced from 2 exons.